Molecule: ribosomal RNA, 254 nt
Filed under: uncultured bacterium
Lineage: Bacteria
Description: partial 16S ribosomal RNA
Rfam family: Bacterial small subunit ribosomal RNA
Source: RNAcentral
UACGUAGGGUGCGAGCGUUAAUCGGAAUUGCUGGGCGUAAAGCGUGCGCAGGCGGUUUGAUAAGACAGGCGUGAAAUCCCCGAGCUUAACUUGGGAAUGGCGCUUGUGACUGUCAGGCUAGAGUGCGUCAGAGGGGGGUAGAAUUCCACGUGUAGCAGUGAAAUGCGUAGAGAUGUGGAGGAAUACCGAUGGCGAAGGCAGCCCCCUGGGACGUGACUGACGCUCAUGCACGAAAGCGUGGGGAGCAAACAGGG